UAGAAUCACUGGUGAAUAAGGGGUGGGCAAGUUCUGGUGUCAGCCGCCGCGGUAAAACCAGCACCUCGAGUGGUCAGGAGGUUUAUUGGGCCUAAAGCAUCCGUAGCCGGUUGCAUAAGUUUUCGGUUAAAUCUAUGNGNUUAACGUAUAGGCCGCCGAAAAUACUGUGCAGCUAGGGAGUGGGANNGGUACACGGUACUCGAUAGGAAGGGGUAAAAUCCUUUGAUCUAUUGAUGACCACCUGUGGCGAAGGCGGUGUACCAGNNNNNGUUCGACGGUGAGGGAUGAAAGCUGGGGGAGCAAACCGGAUUAGAUACCCGGGUAGUCCCAGCUGUAAACGAUGCAGACUCGGUGAUGCAUUGGCUUGUGGCCAAUGCAGUGCCGCAGGGAAGCCGUUAAGUCUGCUGCCUGGGAAGUACGU
This 421-nucleotide ribosomal RNA is filed under the name uncultured archaeon. Its description in RNAcentral is "partial 16S ribosomal RNA". It matches the Rfam family "Archaeal small subunit ribosomal RNA", at positions 420 to 840 of the family's 1478-position model. The record is from RNAcentral.